This 479-nucleotide ribosomal RNA is filed under the name uncultured bacterium. Its description in RNAcentral is "partial 16S ribosomal RNA". It matches the Rfam family "Bacterial small subunit ribosomal RNA", at positions 28 to 507 of the family's 1533-position model. The record is from RNAcentral.
GACGAACGCUGGCGGCGUGCUUAACACAUGCAAGUCGAACGAAGCUUGAUUACGGAUUCUUCGGAUGAAGUAUGAUAUGACUGAGUGGCGGACGGGUGAGUAACGCGUGAGUAACCUGCCCUUCAGAGGGGGAUAGCGUUUGGAAACGAACGGUAAUACCGCAUAAUGUAUUUUGACCGCAUGAUCGAAAUACCAAAGAUUUAUCGCUGAAGGAUGGACUCGCGUCUGAUUAGGUAGUUGGGGGGGUAACGGCCUACCAAGCCGACGAUCAGUAGCCGGACUGGGUGGUUGAUCGGCCACAUUGGGACUGAGACACGGCCCAGACUCCUACGGGAGGAAGCAGUGGGGAAUAUUGCACAAUGGGCGCAAGACUGAUGCAGCAACGCCGCGUGAAGAAAGACGGUUUUCGGAUUGUAAACUUCUGUUCUUAGUGAAGAAUAAUGACGGUAGCUAAGGAGCAAGCCACGGCUAACUACGUG